RNAcentral lists this ribosomal RNA (460 nucleotides) under uncultured bacterium. RNAcentral's name for it is "partial 16S ribosomal RNA". It matches the Rfam family "Bacterial small subunit ribosomal RNA", at positions 338 to 795 of the family's 1533-position model. The record is from RNAcentral.
CCUACGGGUGACAGCAGUGAGGAAUAUUGGUCAAUGGACGAGAGUCUGAACCAGCCAAGUAGCGUGAAGGAUGACUGCCCUAUGGGUUGUAAACUUCUUUUAUAUGGGAAUAAAACGUUCCACGUGUGGGAUUUUGUAUGUACCAUAUGAAUAAGGAUCGGCUAACGCCGUGCCAGCAGCCGCGGUAAUACGGAGGAUCCGAGCGUUAUCCGGAUUUAUUGGGUUUAAAGGGAGCGUAGGUGGAUUGUUAAGUCAGUUGUGAAAGUUUGCGGCUCAACCGUAAAAUUGCAGUUGAAACUGGCAGUCUUGAGUACAGUAGAGGUGGGCGGAAUUCGUGGUGUAGCGGUGAAAUGCUUAGAUAUCACGAAGAACUCCGAUUGCGAAGGCAGUUCACUGGACUGCAACUGACACUGAGGCUCGAAAGUGUGGGUAUCAAACAGGAUUAGAUACCCCUGUAGUC